UCCGGCUUGGCGCCGGCAGUCCCUCCAGAGUUCCCAACUGAAUGAUGGCAACUGGAAGCAAGGGUUGCGCUCGUUGCCGGACUUAACCGAACAUCUCACGACACGAGCUGCCGACAGCCAUGCAGCACCUGUGCAAGCUCCCCUUGCGGGGUCGUCCCACUUUCAUGGUUCUACCACUUGCAUGUCAAGGCCAGGUAAGGUUCUUCGCGUUGCGUCGAAUUAAACCACAUGCUCCACCGCUUGUGCGGGCCCCCGUCAAUUCCUUUGAGUUUCAACCUUGCGGUCGUACUCCCCAGGCGGGGUACUUCCUGCGUUAGCGCCUGCACCCAGAGGGUCGCUCCCCCAGGCACCUAGUACCCAUCGUUUACGGCGUGGACUAC
RNAcentral lists this unclassified non-coding RNA (380 nucleotides) under uncultured bacterium. Its description in RNAcentral is "contains 16S-23S intergenic spacer region". The record is from RNAcentral.